UACGGAGGAUCCAAGCGUUAUCCGGAUUUAUUGGGUUUAAAGGGUGCGUAGGCGGCUUAUUAAGUCAGGGGUGAAAGACGGUGGCUCAACCAUCGCAGUGCCCUUGAUACUGAUGAGCUUGAAUACACUAGAGGUAGGCGGAAUGUGACAAGUAGCGGUGAAAUGCAUAGAUAUGUCACAGAACACCGAUUGCGAAGGCAGCUUACUAUGGUGUCAUUGACGCUGAGGCACGAAAGCGUGGGGAUCAAACAGGAUUAGAAACCCCGGUAGUCC
Molecule: ribosomal RNA, 273 nt
Filed under: uncultured bacterium
Lineage: Bacteria
Description: partial 16S ribosomal RNA
Rfam family: Bacterial small subunit ribosomal RNA
Source: RNAcentral